RNAcentral lists this ribosomal RNA (227 nucleotides) under Bradyrhizobium japonicum. RNAcentral's name for it is "partial 16S ribosomal RNA". It matches the Rfam family "Bacterial small subunit ribosomal RNA", at positions 401 to 647 of the family's 1533-position model. Lineage: Bacteria; Pseudomonadati; Pseudomonadota; Alphaproteobacteria; Hyphomicrobiales; Nitrobacteraceae. The record is from RNAcentral.
GAGUGAUGAAGGCCCUAGGGUUGUAAAGCUCUUUUGUGCGGGAAGAUAAUGACGGUACCGCAAGAAUAAGCCCCGGCUAACUUCGUGCCAGCAGCCGCGGUAAUACGAAGGGGGCUAGCGUUGCUCGGAAUCACUGGGCGUAAAGGGUGCGUAGGCGGGUCUUUAAGUCAGGGGUGAAAUCCUGGAGCUCAACUCCAGAACUGCCUUUGAUACUGAGGAUCUUGACU